GAUUUAUAAGGAAAGAAUCAGUUGACUGUUGGUCUUUUGUCUCUGGAUCUCUAGAGAGCAGGAGCUUGGAGUCCUCCUUCAAUGUCAACCCCACCACUCUGCCUUGGAAUCUUUGACCCAGAAUUUGGUGGAGGAGUGGGUGAUGAAGAGAAAGAAUUUGAAACUGCAAAUUUUAAAAAAAGGUGCCAUCUGAGAUAAAUAUUGGUAAGAUUUUAAAGACAGAAAUGAAAAGAGAUUCCAGUACAGGGAACAGGAGUACAGAGAGAAAUCAUGUGGUAACAUUUUUAAAGAAGAAAUGAAAAGAAUCAAAUCUAGUAAAUAGUCAAGUCAGAGAAAAAGGUCAAAUAAAUUUCAAAGAACAAUGUAAAUAAAGUUAGGCUGUUAGGUGUAGCCAUUCAGGAUAUUGUAUUUUCAUCCUGUAAGUGGAGAGAUGAGCAAUUCUGUGAACAUGGGAGAAUUUCUUCCCAAGAAUAAACUUAAGAAUCUUUAA
Long non-coding RNA from Monodelphis domestica (gray short-tailed opossum), 490 nucleotides. RefSeq lists it as uncharacterized. Lineage: Eukaryota; Metazoa; Chordata; Mammalia; Didelphimorphia; Didelphidae. The record is from RefSeq and is a predicted model, not a curated record.